GAAGACCUUACCCGACUUAGCUGAGAGGUGGUGCAUGGCCGUCGUCAGUUCGUACUGUGAAGCAUCCUGUUAAGUCAGGCAACGAGCGAGACCCACGUCCACAGUUGCCAGCAUACCCUCCGGGGUGAUGGGUACACUGUGGAGACCGCCGCUGCUAAAGCGGAGGAAGGAGUGGGCAACGGUAGGUCAGUAUGCCCCGAAUCUCCCGGGCUACACGCGGGCUACAAUGGUUGGUACAAUGGGCAUCUACCCCGAAAGGGGAAGGAAAUCUCUUAAAGCCAAUCGUAGUUCGGAUUGAGGGCUGCAACUCGCCCUCAUGAAGCUGGAAUCCGUAGUAAUCGCGUUUCAACAGAACGCGGUGAAUACGUCCCUGCUCCUU
This 379-nucleotide ribosomal RNA is filed under the name uncultured Methanosaeta sp. RNAcentral's name for it is "bacterial SSU rRNA". It matches the Rfam family "Archaeal small subunit ribosomal RNA", at positions 961 to 1338 of the family's 1478-position model. Lineage: Archaea; Methanobacteriati; Methanobacteriota; Methanomicrobia; Methanotrichales; Methanotrichaceae. The record is from RNAcentral.